CCUACGGGUGGCAGCAGUGAGGAAUAUUGGUCAAUGGACGAGAGUCUGAACCAGCCAAGUAGCGUGAAGGAUGACUGCCCUAUGGGUUGUAAACUUCUUUUAUAUGGGAAUAAAAUGUUCCACGUGUGGGAUUUUGUAUGUACCAUAUGAAUAAGGAUCGGCUAACCCCGUGCCAGCAGCCGCGGUAAUAAGGAGGAUCCGAGCGUUAUCCGGAUUUAUUGGGUUUAAAGGGAGCGUAGGUGGAUUGUUAAGUGAGGUGUGAAAGUUUGCGGCACAACCGUAAAAUUGCAGUUGAAACUGGCAGUCUUGAGUACAGUAGAGGUGUGCGGAAUUCGUGGUGUAGCGGUGAAAUGCGUAGAGAUCACGAAGAACUCCGAUUGCGAAGGCAGUUCACUGGACUGCAACUGACACUGAGGCUCGAAAGUGUGGGUAUCAAACAGGAUUAGAUACCCUAGUAGUC
This 460-nucleotide ribosomal RNA is filed under the name uncultured bacterium. RNAcentral's name for it is "partial 16S ribosomal RNA". It matches the Rfam family "Bacterial small subunit ribosomal RNA", at positions 338 to 795 of the family's 1533-position model. The record is from RNAcentral.